UACGAAGGGGGCUAGCGUUGUUCGGAAUUACUGGGCGUAAAGCGUGCGCAGGCGGCUUCUCAAGUCAGGGGUGAAAGCCCAGAGCUCAACUCUGGAAUUGCCUUUGAGACUGAGUGGCUUGAGUACGAGAGAGGUGAGUGGAAAUUCCCAGUGUAGAGGUGAAAUUCGUAGAUAUUGGGAAGAACACCAGUGGCGAAGGCGACUGACUGGACAUGUAUUGACGCUGAGGUGCGAAAGCGUGGGAGCAAACAGG
This 253-nucleotide ribosomal RNA is filed under the name uncultured bacterium. Its description in RNAcentral is "partial 16S ribosomal RNA". It matches the Rfam family "Bacterial small subunit ribosomal RNA", at positions 524 to 776 of the family's 1533-position model. The record is from RNAcentral.